RNAcentral lists this ribosomal RNA (253 nucleotides) under uncultured bacterium. Its description in RNAcentral is "partial 16S ribosomal RNA". It matches the Rfam family "Bacterial small subunit ribosomal RNA", at positions 524 to 776 of the family's 1533-position model. The record is from RNAcentral.
UACAGAGGGUGCAAACGUUGUUCGGAAUUACUGGGCGUAAAGCGUGUGUAGGCGGCUAUGUAAGUCGGAUGUGAAAGCCCCGGGCUCAACCCGGGAAGUGCACUCGAUACUGCGUAGCUUGAGUACUGGAGAGGUUGGUGGAAUUCUCGGUGUAAAGGUGAAAUUCGUAGAUAUCGAGAGGAACACCGGUGGCGAAGGCGGCCAACUGGACAGAUACUGACGCUGAGACACGAAAGCGUGGGGAGCAAACAGG